AGUAACAUGUGGGUAUCUGCCCUUUGGCCUGGAAUAACACGAGGAAACUUGUGCUAAUACCGGAUAAGUCUUUACGGAGAAAGCUUUAUGCACCAUUGGAUGAGCCCGCACUUGAUUAGUUUGUUGGUGGGGUAAUGGCCUACCAAGACUGUGAUCAAUAGCUGAUUUGAGAGGAUGAUCAGCCACAUUGGGACUGAGACACGGCCCAAACUCCUACGGGAGGCAGCAGUGGGGAAUCUUGCACAAUGGAGGAAACUCUGAUGCAGCGAUGCCGCGUGAGUGAAGAAGGCCCUUGGGUUGUAAAGCUCUUUCGUCG
Molecule: ribosomal RNA, 316 nt
Filed under: uncultured bacterium
Lineage: Bacteria
Description: bacterial SSU rRNA
Rfam family: Bacterial small subunit ribosomal RNA
Source: RNAcentral